RNAcentral lists this transfer RNA (451 nucleotides) under uncultured Pelagibacterales bacterium. RNAcentral's name for it is "partial 16S-23S ribosomal RNA intergenic spacer". The stretch from base 106 to 179 matches the Rfam family "tRNA". Lineage: Bacteria; Pseudomonadati; Pseudomonadota; Alphaproteobacteria; Candidatus Pelagibacterales. The record is from RNAcentral.
CCUCCUUUCUAAGGAUGAGUGAAAGUAAAAUUUCAUUCUAAAUAAUAUACAUCGGUAAUGUUGACCGUCCUCAUUUCUCUUCUUAAAGUAAUGUUUCCUUCUGUAGGGCCGGUAGCUCAGUUGGUUAGAGCACACCCUUGAUAAGGGUGGGGUCGAAAGUUCGAGUCUUUCUCGGCCCACCAAACUUAAAUGGGGGAUUAGCUCAUCUGGGAGAGCGCCUGAUUUACAUUCAGGAGGUCAGCGGUUCGAUCCCGCUAUCCUCCACCAAAAUUUGAGACAUUUAGCUUUUUUAAAUUGUGAAUAUUAUUAAUAUUAUCAAUAUCUAUAUCCGAUUGUUUUCAGAUAUUUUUUUUGAAAACAAUCAAAACAAAAAUUUAAUUUAUUACAGAAAAAUUUUUUUCUGUGCAUAAAUCAAGCGUUUAAGGGCGAUUGGGCGGAUGCCUUGGCACUG